This 368-nucleotide ribosomal RNA is filed under the name uncultured organism. RNAcentral's name for it is "bacterial SSU rRNA". It matches the Rfam family "Bacterial small subunit ribosomal RNA", at positions 526 to 896 of the family's 1533-position model. The record is from RNAcentral.
CGUAGGUGGCAAGCGUUGUCCGGAUUUAUUGGGUUUAAAGGGUGCGUAGGCGGCCCUGUAAGUCAGUGGUGAAAUAUCUCAGUUUAACUGAGAGGGUGCCAUUGAUACUGCGGGGCUUGAGUACAGAUGAGGUAGGCGGAAUUGACGGUGUAGCGGUGAAAUGCAUAGAUAUCGUCAAGAACUCCGAUAGCGAAGGCAGCUUACUAAGCUGUAACUGACGCUGAGGCACGAAAGUGUGGGGAUCAAACAGGAUUAGAUACCCUGGUAGUCCACACUGUAAACGUUGAUGACUCGAUGUUGGCGAUACACAGCCAGCGUCCAAGAGCAAUCGUUAAGUCAUCCACCUGGGGAGUACGCCGGCAACGGUG